Molecule: long non-coding RNA, 1292 nt
Organism: Pleuronectes platessa (European plaice)
Lineage: Eukaryota; Metazoa; Chordata; Actinopteri; Pleuronectiformes; Pleuronectidae
Exons: 3
Source: RefSeq, a predicted model, not a curated record
CACGACGACAGCGUCACUGCUCUGAUCCCUCUUCCUCCUUCGAGCUGCAGCAGGCGACUGUUUUCAGCAGUGAAGCUCUGAUAAGCUCCCUUUACAUCACCUGUACAAAACACCAGCCAGCAGACACAUUGGAUCACAUAACUUCCCCCCUGAAGGUGUUUCACCUGGUACGGUACAAAUUACCCUGUGUCAACGGACCUGUGGCUCAGAUAAAGACAAACUCUCAGAAACAGAGUUUCUCCAAAUCAGCUGACAAGUAGAGAAAAAGACAGAAAGCAACAGAGGAGGGAGCCGUCCGGCAGGAAGCACAGACGUCUGCAGAACCCACCAAAGAAACAAAUGAAUUCAACAUCACUAAAUGGGUACAAUCUUUUUCUCUGAAAGAUGUAGGAGGGGUUGCUCCAUGUGAACCAGUGGGACGAUCAAACAAAGCCGACAUUCAGCUCGGUGUGUGUCUCCACUUCACUGCCUGAUUCUUCACUGGAGGAACCCAAAGGCCCUUGUUGUCUUUCAAUGUGCUGCACACAGACGUUUACAUGAAGUGAAACCAGUGUCAUCUGUUCAACUCCUCACAUGUGUGUCAGCUUCUCUCCUGAGGCCUCUGCUCCCCCUGUUCCCAGUAAAGAAUGUGUUUGUGUCUUCAUGCUGAUGCAGUAGGUGAGGCCGGAGUUGUUUAUUUGAUUGAACUUUUCAGGCUUUUCAUCUCGAGAAUGUGAAGCAUGAGUUCUAAAAACAAAAGAUUCUCCUGCACGCCCAGAAUCACCUGCUCCUCCACCCGAACCUCCACCGCUGGGCUCCCAUAACCUGAGGUGAUUAUUAUCUCAAGCAACUGGGAUGGGAAACACCAGCUACUUGUACAGAGCCUCUCAGCAGCUAAAACAGAGAAAACCCACCAUCUAGUGGUGUGUUCGAGUGUGGAGCAGCUUCAGCAGGGAACAGGUCACAUGGUUUAUGUUAAAGCCAAUUUAUAAGUGAGGAAAUUCUGCCCAGGCCUAAUAUUCUGCUCAAAUUCAAUCAAGCAGGACCAACUCUCUUUGCACCACUCAUUUGAAAUGAGCUGCAGCAUCCUCUGAAGCUUCACACAUCUGGUUACAUGGGCCAUUUUAAGAAUGUAGUAUAAACCAGGACAUGAGUUUGAAUUUUAUUGACUUUUCUUCAUGUUUUUUUAUAUACUUUUUUUAAUAUGUACUACUAGUCUUUUGUUCUUAUUGUUUUGUAAGGGUGUAUAUGUACAUUCAAAUUGUUUGUUCCAUGUGUUAUUGAUGCAUGUAUGUACUCAGGUCUCAGAUAUU